CAGUCGCCGCGGGAAAACGGAGGGUGCAAGCGUUAAUCGGAAUUACUGGGCGUAAAGCGCACGCAGGCGGUCUGUCAAGUCGGAUGUGAAAUCCCCGGGCUCAACCUGGGAACUGCAUUCGAAACUGGCAGGCUAGAGUCUUGUAGAGGGGGGUAGAAUUCCAGGUGUAGCGGUGAAAUGCGUAGAGAUCUGGAGGAAUACCGGUGGCGAAGGCGGCCCCCUGGACAAAGACUGACGCUCAGGUGCGAAAGCGUGGGGAGCAAACAGGAUUAGAUACCCGGGUAGUCCCUGUCUCUUAUAC
This 301-nucleotide ribosomal RNA is filed under the name uncultured bacterium. RNAcentral's name for it is "partial 16S ribosomal RNA". It matches the Rfam family "Bacterial small subunit ribosomal RNA", at positions 509 to 807 of the family's 1533-position model. The record is from RNAcentral.